CCUAUGACGCCUUCGACGCCGGACGGUUGCCCAUAUUCUCCAGCAGCGCUAGCUACCUACCGUGAGAAAUAACCCAAAUCCCGGACCUGCAAUGCUCGGCAACACCCCGAGCAGGAUCGACUACAAGGUUAGGUCAAGCCUUGGGCCGACAUCAUCGUCGCCGGCUGCCACAUUCUCAGAAUCCGCUCAAGGAAGCGAACAGAAGGAAGAAUUAGAAGUUAGGGCGAAAUCAUUGAAGGAUAGUUGAUCCAUUGGCGUUCCACUGUCUUUUAAGGAACGGUUAAAUGUUGGGCCCAUUGGCAACGCAGCCCAUUCAUUACAAUUUACAAGGAACGAAGAUGACGGCGGGACCAUUAAAAGUGACUCUUGAUUUACCAAUGUUCGCUUGUCCUUGACGGCGGAAGGUGCUGGAGGAGGAGGAGGAGGUGACGGUCAAGGGAGGGGGAGCUUGACCUCCACAUCUCCCUCCUACCGUUUUCGUCCGAUCUCGUUCCAUUCCGAGCAUGGAUGCGCCGAAGCUCCCGAUCCGCCCUUCCUCCGCCCGUUUCUUCCCGUUCAUAUCCAGGAGUCCAUCAUCCACCCAUAAUCCCUACCGACGAUGCAUUUGGAUCUCUGUUUCUUUCUUAUCUCUCGCCUUUCUUCUCCUUUACAUCGUCGUCUCCUCCCGUAGCUCGACUUCUGCUCGAUUUGGGAUUGUUAUCGACGGCGGGAGCUCUGGCACUCGGAUCCACAUAUUCUCCUCUAAGGGAAUCAUGGGUGGCUUUCCUUUGCUCGAUUUGAAGUCGAUGGCGGUGAUGCGGAAGACGCCCGGGCUGUCAUCUUACUUAGGGGACCCGGAGCUCUCCGGGGAGUCCUUGGUGGAGCUGUUGGAGUUCGCUAAGGAGAAAGUGCCGAACGACUGGCACAAGGUCACGGAAGUUAGGCUAAUGGCAACAGCGGGCUUGAGAAUGGUCGAAGUGGGACUGAGGGAAAGAAUUUUGGAGUCUUGCCGGAGGGUCCUGAGAUUGUCAGGCUUUCAAUUCAAAGACGAUUGGGCGACUGUGAUACCGGGUUCUGAUGAAGGUGUGUAUGCUUGGGUUGCUGCAAAUUAUGCACUUGGAAGUUUGGGAAGUGAUCCUGAGAACACGACUGGGAUACUUGAGCUUGGUGGAGCAUCAGCACAGGUAACUGUGGUUCACUGCUGAUUUUUAUCUUUAGGUGACGUUUGUUUCAAAUGAAGCAUUGUCCCCUGAAUUUUCUCAUGUGCUGACACUCGGGAAUACCACAUAUAAACUCUAUAGUAAUAGCUUUCUCCAUUUUGGCCAGAAUGUUGCCCGUGAGUCUCUUCAAAAAUUGCUCAACUCAAGUGACCUAAAAUCAUAUGAAGAGUCAGAUCAAGAGAGAACUAAUAUUGAUCCUUGUUCUCCUAAUGAAUUUUCUCACGGGGGUAACUUCUCGAAGUGUAGGUCUGCAGCAUUAACUCUACUUCAGAAGGAAAAAGCAUACAUUGUGUUCUCCAGACAAUUGCCUGUACCAGCAGUGCCACUUGGGAUCAAGUUUCUUACCAAAGGUUCAAGGGGAAUUUAUAGCAACUGAGAAUUUCUAUUAUACUUCAAAGUUCUUUGGCCUGAAUCCAAGGUCAUCACUGUCUGAUUUAAUACUGGCUGGACGAGAGUUUUGUGAAGAAGAUUGGUCAAAGAAUAAGCAGAAAUAUCCUUCUGCAACUGAAGAUCUGUCUCGAUAUUGCUUCUCAGCAGCCUAUAUUGUGGCCCUCCUACAUGAUAGUUUUGGCAUCCCUUUGGAUGACAGGAGGAUCGAGUAUGCAAAUCAGGCGGGAGGCAUCCAAAUUGAAUGGGCUUUGGGAGCCUACCUUACGCAGGCUACAAACAGUUUAGAGAAGAAUUGGACAAAGCCUGUACUGCCUGAUAACAUCAUGCUAUUGUUUCUUGUGACAUCCACUUUGCUGGCUUUUGCUGCUUGGUUGGGGUAUAAAUGGAAGCAACCCGGACUAAAAACUAUAUAUGACUUGGAGAAAGGUCGCUACAUCACUACACGUGUCAGCUAAUAAUCUAUACUUUUCCUGGAGAUACCAAAUGCUCGUGGUCUACAAGUUUAAAUGUUAACCUUGCAACCUUGACACCUCCUUCAGGGGGGUAACCAAAGGGUUGGACUGGUGUACAUAAUUCUUGCAUAUCCAUUCAGAGGAGAAUUGCGCUGUUAUUACUCGAUGGUCCAUUCUUUGAGCACUAAAAGGUUUUAGUUUCAUGUUAAAUGAUCAGUUUUGAAAGGUGGUGCAUUUUGUAGAUGUAGCUUGUUAUUCUGCAUAUAAACUAAUAAACUGAGAUUCCAAUUUCUUGUGUAUGGAUAUCACUGAAUUUUAAAGGGUUAUUAUGUACA
Molecule: RNA transcript, 2376 nt
Organism: Zingiber officinale
Lineage: Eukaryota; Viridiplantae; Streptophyta; Magnoliopsida; Zingiberales; Zingiberaceae
Gene name: probable apyrase 6
Exons: 9
Source: RefSeq, a predicted model, not a curated record